GUCCUGCUUCCGCCGUCACUUCCCAAAACCUCUCGUUCCAGAUUUAUUAUCUUCACCUCGUCGACCCGAUGCCUACGCAGCCAUUUCCCUGGUCCGGCGACAAGCCUUCCUCGUAGAUCGAGAUCCCCAAACCUACCUGUGCGGAGAGGAGGGCGAUUUCUGUCGUCAUCGCUGGAUUCCACUCGCCGUCUCCGUCGCCCUGAUUCCACUCACUCGCCACCGCACUUUUUCUGGAGCCACUUCGUCCAUUUGAGCGAGGCUUGUAGGUUUUCUGCCAUUAUUGAGCUUUUCCAUGGCCACUGCAAACAAUCCAGGUCCCCUUGACUUGGUUCCAGGUUUUUCACCUGAAGACAUGGACAACCCCAUUCAUAAUGCUGCCUUAUCCUACGUGUCAUAUGAUAGAUAUGUGUUAGAUACCUCUGAAGUGUAUUUUGAUGAUUGCAUCCCAUUGGAGUCUUAUCUGAAUAUUAGACCAAUGGUGACUUCUGAUUCGUAUCAGUUUCGUUCAUUUGGGGAAACUAAUCCAAGUGUGACUUAUCUGGUUGCAACAGAGUCAUAACUGCCUCCAUCGCGCGCGGGCGAUGGCGGCCAGGAACAAGGAGGAAGUCUUCUUCGAUCCCGUGUGAGGGUAGUGAGGUCCUCAAGAAGGAGGCCUCUCUGGGUGUCGAGGAAUGUCCCGGGGUCCAUGGAGUGCUGGUUGGAGGAGUCUGGGAAGAAGGUGGUCAAGUACAAGAUGCCUAAUGUUGUUAUCAAACAAAUGAUGAGCUACCCCUACACCUACCCGGAGUACGCCUACACCGAGGAGGAGCUGGCCCAACGUUCUGCCUCAAACUCAGAAAGUUCAUCGAUGAAAAGAUGA
RNAcentral lists this long non-coding RNA (859 nucleotides) under Oryza sativa tropical japonica subgroup. Its description in RNAcentral is "lncRNA OsCMeo_12g0005030". Lineage: Eukaryota; Viridiplantae; Streptophyta; Magnoliopsida; Poales; Poaceae. RNAcentral also lists the same sequence under 1 other name. The record is from RNAcentral.